GGCAGUUCUUGGGUGACGCACCCCGAAUUGAACUCCCUCCUCAAUGGUUCCGGGUGCAUCACCCGAGAACCACA
Non-coding RNA from Myotis davidii, 74 nucleotides. The record is from Rfam. Lineage: Eukaryota; Metazoa; Chordata; Mammalia; Chiroptera; Vespertilionidae.